AGGCCACUUGGGGGAUGGCUCGGCUCAGGCGCUGAGGAAGACCGUGCCAAGCUGCGAUAUGCUCCGGGGAGGCGCAGGGAGCCUAAGAUCCGGAGAUCGUUGAAUGGGAAUUCCUUCCCCGUAAGGGGAACUCCCGAAAGGGAGAGGGAACCCCGGGAAUCGAAACAUCCUAGUACCGGGAGGAAAAGAAACCAAUAGGGAUGCCGUUAGUAAGGGCGACCGAAAGCGGCAGAGGGCAAACCGAAUAACCUAUCGAAAGAUAGGGAAGAUGUGGAGUUCGGGACCAAGCCAAAGCCCUGGAAGGGAAGUCUAAGUCCUCUGGAAAGAGGCGCCAGAGAGGGUGAUAGCCCCGUUGACGUAACCUUCCGAGCGACGAGCUUGGUUACCAGAGUACCGUGCGUCGGAUUUCGCGCGGGAAUAAGGGUCUCACUAAGAUCCAACCCUAAAUACGUCCUGAGUCCGAUAGCGCACUAGUACCGCGAGGGAAAGCUGAAAAGUAACCCGAAAGGGUGGUGAAAAGGGCCUGAAACCAAGUGGCUAUAACCUGAUAGGGCAUGAAAGGAAUGACGCCUUAAGGCCGAUCAGUGUCCUAUCGUCCGUGUUGAAGAACGGGCCAGGGAGUUCUGACUGGUGGCGAGGUUAACUCCUGUAUGGAGGAAGCCGGAGCGAAAGCAACAAGCCCGCACCGAAAGGGAGGGGCGACGUGGGCUCGCGUGAAGUCACCAGUGGGAGACCCGAAUCCGGUCGAUCUAGUCCUGGGCAGGUCGAAGCCUAGCGAAAGCUGGGUGGAGGACCGAACCGGUUCUGAUGUGCAAAUCGUUCGGUUGACCUGGGACUAGGGGUUAAAGGCUAAUCUAGGCCGGUAAUAGCGGGUUCCCCCCGAGACUACCCGCAGGUAGACCUGGACAGAGGCGUCUGGUGGUGUAGAGAAAUGACUAGGGUCAACUAGCCCGAAAGGGCUGGUCCCCUUAUCAAACUCCGAAGCUGCCAGAGCCGUAGAAGUCUGGUGCUAGGGGAUCGGGAUAAGCUUGAUCCCCGAGAGGAGAAGAAUCCAGACGGAGGUUAAGGUCCCCAAGUUACGGUUAAGUGCAACCAAAAGGGUGUCCAUGACCCAAGACAGUUGGGAGGUUGGCUUAGAAGCAGCCAUCCUUUAAAGAGUGCGUAACAGCUCACCCACCGAGGUCAUGGGCCCCGAAGAUGGACGGGGCUAAACCGUACACCGAUACCUCCGGACACCGCAAGGUGAUUCGGUAGGGGGGCGUGCUGCUGGGGCAGAAGUAUCUCCGAGAGGAGGUAUGGACCCAACAGUAUCGCGGAUCCUGGUGAAAGUAGCAGCAUAGAGCCGUGAGAAUCGGCUCCGCCGAAAGGGCUAAGGGUUCCUCGGCAACGCUCGUCAGCCGAGGGUUAGCCGGUCCUAAGGUGAUCCCUAAUAGGAGAUCAUCGAAAGGGAAAACGGUUAAUAUUCCGUUGCCGCAACCGUUUGCCUGAAUAAUGACACUUCGGGAUAGGCUAGGUGAUGCCGUCGCAUUAUCAUGCCGUAUAAGUCCGUGGAGUACCGUAAUGGUGAGAAGCGGAUGAAAUUGGUAUGGCUCCCCUAGUGGGAGUCUAGCUGAUUCCUGGAGUCCGUGAAAAGUUAUUCAGGGUCAUGGUUGUGACCGUACCAAGAACCGACACUGGUGCCCCUGGGUGAGAAGCCCAAGGCGUAUGGGACGAAUCUACGCGAGGGAACUCGGCAAACUAGCCUCGUAUCUUCGGUAGAAGGGGUGCCUACUCCGCGAAGGAGUAGGUCGCAGUGGCUAGGGGACUCCGACUGUUUAACAAAAACACAGAUCGCAGCUAGCCCGAAAGGGUGAGUAUUGCGGUUGAAGCCUGCCCAGUGGCGGUACCUGAAAACCGGGUCCAACCGGGAGAAGGGCCGCUAAACGGCGGGGGUAACUAUGACCCUCUUAAGGUAGCGUAAUACCUAGCCGCUUAAUUGGCGGCUUGCAUGAAGGCCCAACGAGGGUCCCGCUGUCCCCGCGUUGAGUCCCGUGAAAUUGAUGUACUGGUGCACAAUCCAGUCUCUCCCACGUGAAAGCGAAGUCCCCGUGGAGCUUUACUGCAGCCUGUCGUUGUGGUAUGGUCCUGGAUGUGUAGGGUAGGCGGGAGCCGUCGAAGGAUGCUCGUCAGGGCAUCUGGAGGCGCCGAUGAAACACCGCCCUUCCGGGGUUAUGCCACUAACCUGACGAAGGGACACCGAUAGGUGGGCAGUUUGGGUGGGGCGCCACGCCCUCGAAAAGAUAACAAGGGCCCCCAAAGGUCGGCUCAGGAGGGUCAGGAAUCCUCCGUAGAGUGUAAGGGCAAAAGCCGGCUUGACUGGUUCACACACAAUAAGGGAACCAGAUGCGAAAGCAAGGCCUAGCGAACCACCCAACCUCCUUAGUGGGGGCGGGUGAUAAGAGAGAAGUUACCCCAGGGAUAACUGAGUCGUCUCCGGCAAGAGUACAUAUCGACCCGGAGGUUUGCUACUUCGAUGUCGUCUGUUCCUAUCCUGGCGGUGCAGCAGCUGCCAAGGGUGGGGC
RNAcentral lists this ribosomal RNA (2561 nucleotides) under hot springs metagenome. RNAcentral's name for it is "bacterial LSU rRNA". It matches the Rfam family "Archaeal large subunit ribosomal RNA", at positions 15 to 2646 of the family's 2987-position model. The record is from RNAcentral.